UACACUCCUGCGGGAGGCAGCAGUGGGGAAUCUUGCGCAAUGGGCGAAAGCCUGACGCAGCCAUGCCGCGUGAAUGAUGAAGGUCUUAGGAUUGUAAAAUUCUUUCACCGGGGACGAUAAUGACGGUACCCGGAGAAGAAGCCCCGGCUAACUUCGUGCCAGCAGCCGCGGUAAUACGAAGGGGGCUAGCGUUGCUCGGAAUUACUGGGCGUAAAGGGAGCGUAGGCGGACAUUUAAGUCAGGGGUGAAAUCCCGGGGCUCAACCUCGGAAUUGCCUUUGAUACUGGGUGUCUUGAGUAUGAGAGAGGUGUGUGGAACUCCGAGUGUAGAGGUGAAAUUCGUAGAUAUUCGGAAGAACACCAGUGGCGAAGGCGACACACUGGCUCAUUACUGACGCUGAGGCUCGAAAGCGUGGGGAGCAAACAGGAUUAGAUACCCCGGUAGUCCC
Molecule: ribosomal RNA, 448 nt
Filed under: uncultured organism
Description: partial 16S ribosomal RNA
Rfam family: Bacterial small subunit ribosomal RNA
Source: RNAcentral